Molecule: unclassified non-coding RNA, 21 nt
Filed under: Dictyostelium discoideum
Lineage: Eukaryota; Evosea; Eumycetozoa; Dictyosteliales; Dictyosteliaceae
Source: RNAcentral
GUUGUUAGAUCGGCCAUUACU